GACGAACGUUGGCGGCGUGCUUAAUACAUGCAAGUCCACUGAAGCGGUGGUAGCAAUAUCGCUGUGGAGGUGGCGCACGGGUGAGUAACACGUAGGUAAUCUGCCUUCAGGUCUGGCAUAACUCCGGGAAACCGGGGCUAAUAGCAGAUGAUGCAGCGGCUCGACAUCGAGACAGUUGUUAAAGCUAUGGCGCCUGAAGAUGAGCCUGCGUCUGAUUAGCUAGUUGGCGGGGUAACGGCCCACCAAGGCAACGAUCAGUAGCUGGUCUGAGAGGAUGAUCAGCCACACUGGAACUGAGACACGGUCCAGACUCCUACGGGAGGCAGCAGUAAGGAAUAUUGCUCAAUGGGAGAAAUCCUGAAGCAGCAACGCCGCGUGAGGGACGAAGGGCUUUUGCUUGUAAACCUCUGUAGUGAGAGAAAAAAAUCCCAAUCUUUGGGACAUGAUGGUAUCUCAAAAGUAAGCCCCGGCUAACUACGUG
Molecule: ribosomal RNA, 481 nt
Filed under: uncultured bacterium
Lineage: Bacteria
Description: partial 16S ribosomal RNA
Rfam family: Bacterial small subunit ribosomal RNA
Source: RNAcentral